UGGGGGGGGCCUCCAGACCCUUGCAUUUGCCAUUGAGGAUCUUCUCUGUCUAGCCUAGUAUUUACCUGAAACUUUCUUUUUCAGUUCGUGAGAAAUGCAGCACAUGUGAAUCUCAAUGUGAGCGUGGCUGGUGUGUGUCUUCUCUGUGCAGUGAUGGUGCCAAGCCCCUGCCCUGGCCAUCAGGAGAGGUGAUGCAGGAAGCGGUGAAGCCCUGGUCCUCCAUCCUCAUGUGGACGCUGCCCGUGACCCAGGGGCAGCGGUCACUGCCUGGUGGGAUUCCUGCCUGCAGGCGCCGGCCUCAGCUGUCCCACUGAGGAGGCUGCACCUCAGUUCCUCGUGGUAACUACCGUUAUGGCCCAGCCCAAUCAGUAGUGCUUGGCACAGCAAGGCAGAGGUGGUCUACUGGAAACACCGAUUUCCUUCCUGAAAGAAGAUUGUGGAUUUAAGCCUUUAUAGUAAACUUAGUCCACAAGGGGAGAUGCCCAGGUAGUAAGAGCUGCUCAGAGACAGCAUGGGACCCACAGGGAUACUCAGACCAGGUACUGAGGCUGUCCCACCCUCUGCACUGCCACGGGCCUGUGCAGACGAUCAGAAAUGUGUCUCCAUGGGGCAGGUAUGUGAGUAUGUGAAGGUCAUGCCGACUGAUGGAGCUCAUCUCCUGGGCUGUGUUAUUCCCACUGGAACCCAGACCACCCUGCCAUGCCGCCCCAGCCCCACAGAGGGCCUGCUCUCACUAGCCUCUCUCUGGGCUCCUCGUGGACAGUUCGCAUGCCCUAUGGUUCAGUAUUAGAGCAGCACUGGGACAGUGGGCUUGGAAGGGGCCCUGGUGUAGCCUGGAUUUGGCAUUGAUUUAAGGUGAGCUGGGAAAGGGGGUUUGUAAACCAUUUGGCCUGUCUUGAUUCCACCUUGUAUUUUCCACCUUGUAUUGCAGAGUGUUAAGGAAUACAAGAGAAUGAAUGAGCACACUGGCUGGCCCUGUCAAAAAAAAAAAAAAACCAAAAAAACCACAAGAACUGUGAGCUUGAGAUGCUUUGUAAGAAUAAGAAAUUGUUUGUGAUCUUCACAUAGUCUCUUAAAACUGUGUGUUUUCCUGAUUUCAAAUCAUAGAUGCUAGUUUUCAGUCCAGCACCAGGGAUAAUGCCUGUCAACUUUAUGGUGUACAUCCUUCCAGGAUUUUUGGUGGAACUGUUUUAGAACUGCCUUUUCUAUUUACUAUGACACAAGCACUUUCCCAUGUUACUAAUUAAUCUUUUACAAGUUACUGACCCAUAGUUUGUCUAGUGCUCUAUUCAUGGACAUUUAGUUUUAUUUCAGUUUUUUCCCCCCUGCUGUAAAUGGCACUGUGGUGAGCAUUCUUACAGGUACAUUGUUAGGUGCCCUCUCUGGUUUCCUUCGGCAGUUUCUUCCAGGGAGGUGGCUGAGUCCCAAGAGUAUGAACCUUUUAAAUUAUUUUAAGUCAUUAUUAUUAUUAUUCU
Molecule: non-coding RNA, 1475 nt
Organism: Manis javanica (Malayan pangolin)
Lineage: Eukaryota; Metazoa; Chordata; Mammalia; Pholidota; Manidae
Source: RefSeq, a predicted model, not a curated record